UNCCUGACAGGGGCAGGCCACUGUACAGA
This 29-nucleotide non-coding RNA is filed under the name Rattus norvegicus (Norway rat). The record is from RNAcentral. Lineage: Eukaryota; Metazoa; Chordata; Mammalia; Rodentia; Muridae.